This is a long non-coding RNA of Quercus robur (English oak), 954 nucleotides long. RefSeq lists it as uncharacterized. The record is from RefSeq and is a predicted model, not a curated record. The transcript is spliced from 3 exons. NCBI's taxonomy places the organism in Eukaryota, Viridiplantae, Streptophyta, Magnoliopsida, Fagales, Fagaceae.
UUAAGUGGAGAAUACCUUCUGUCCGGAGCUGGCAGAAAAGGACUUAUUUACGCCACCAACCAGAAACUGCCACGCCAGAAAUUUAAUGAGGAAGCAGUACACUCUGUCACACAGGAUUAUAACUCAAUUAAAACUAAAAUCAUCAAACACGUAUCAGAUCAGAAGCCCUUACCUGGAGAAACAGCACCAACGCCUAACCCAUUCCAUCUCCUCCUCUCCUCUGACCACCGGAGCUCUACCCCACCGCUGGAGUCGCCACGGCGUCGUUCUGAGCCGGCGCCCACCCAACCUCAAGGUUUCAGUAAUUGAUAUAGAAGGACCCACUCUAUUAUAUCAAAACCACAUUGCAAGUGAAAUUUGUACUUGUGUCAUCUCUCUUUUCAAUUCCAAACCUGCAUUUUACAUGGUUUUGAGAGGAAUGUUUUAGUGGUUGAGACAGAAUUUGUUGAAGUUCUAGCAUUCAGGUUAGAAAGUCAAUGUGUUCCAUCUUUUUGUAAAACAGGUGUCUUUUCGACAAGUUUUCUUACUGUGUUUGUUGAAUUCUCCAUCGUCAACCUAGGCCUCUGGGACACAGCUGGUAUCAUUUAUUUGAUAGCUAUUGUAAUAUUUUUAGCUUCAAAUAUAAUUUUAUACUACUUGUAAUUACAAUUUUCUCCUACUUGUAAUGUCAAUUUGCUCUCUAUAUGUAGCAGAGUGCAAUUAAAGAUAUAGUUGGAGCUGUUUUAUGUAGAGUUUAUUGAGUUGCUGAGCAGGGUGGUCAAAUGUACCAUGCCUUUGUUGUGCUUAUGUGGAAUUAAUUUGAACUUCUAAAAAUUCAAAUUGGUUGUUUGGUUUUGUAUUAAGUGGUUGGAUUUGCUCUUUACUUGUAUCCUAAAACAAGUUUGUAAUUAAACAAGUUUGCCAAAUUGGGCAAGUUUGGUAUUGUAAUAGCACAAAAUUUGAAUUUAUUCUCAA